CCUACGGGAGGCAGCAGUGGGGAAUAUUGCACAAUGGGGGAAACCCUGAUGCAGCGACGCCGCGUGAGUGAAGAAGUAUUUCGGUAUGUAAAGCUCUAUCAGCAGGGAAGAAAAUGACGGUACCUGAUUAAGAAGCCCCGGCUACCUACGUGCCAGCAGCCGCGGUCAUACGGAGGGGGCAAGCGUUAUCCGGAUUUACUGGGUGUAAAGGGAGCGUAGACGGCAGCACAAGUCUGGAGGGAAAUGCCGGGGCUUAACCCCGGAACUGCUUUGGAAACUGUGCAGCUAGAGUGCAGGAGAGGUAAGUGGAAUGCCUAGUGUAGCGGUGAAAUGCGUAGAUAUUAGGAGGAACACCAGUGGCGAAGGCGGCAUACUGGACUGUAACUGACGUUGAGGCUCGAAAGCGUGGGGAGCAAACAGGAUUAGAUACCCUGGUAGUC
Molecule: ribosomal RNA, 440 nt
Filed under: uncultured bacterium
Lineage: Bacteria
Description: partial 16S ribosomal RNA
Rfam family: Bacterial small subunit ribosomal RNA
Source: RNAcentral